RNAcentral lists this ribosomal RNA (497 nucleotides) under uncultured bacterium. RNAcentral's name for it is "partial 16S ribosomal RNA". It matches the Rfam family "Bacterial small subunit ribosomal RNA", at positions 28 to 506 of the family's 1533-position model. The record is from RNAcentral.
GAUGAACGCUGGCGGCGUGCCUAAUACAUGCAAGUCGAGCGAACAGACGAGGAGCUUGCUCCUCUGACGUUAGCGGCGGACGGGUGAGUAACACGUGGAUAACCUACCUAUAAGACUGGGAUAACUUCGGGAAACCGGAGCUAAUACCGGAUAAUAUAUUGAACCGCAUGGUUCAAUAGUGAAAGACGGUUUUGCUGUCACUUAUAGAUGGAUCCGCGCCGCAUUAGCUAGUUGGUAAGGUAACGGCUUACCAAGGCAACGAUGCGUAGCCGACCUGAGAAGGUGGUCCGGCCACACGGGAAUGGGGAAACGUUCCAAAUCCUAACGGAAGGAAGCGGAAGGGAACCUUCCGAAAUGGGGGAAGGCUGAAGGGAGAAACGCGGGGUGAGGGAGGAAGGUUUUCGAAUGGAAAACCCUGUUAAUAAGGAAGAAAAAAAGUGGUAAGUAAUAAGGAAGGUCUGAAGGGAACUAAUGCAGAAAGCAACGCCUAACUAGGU